GGUCAAGGUUACAAAGGAAAGGUGAUAAGCCACGAUCAAGAACAACUUCAUUGAGAACAACAAAUUGAUUGGAUUGGUCAACAAUCGUUUCAAUUUCAGUUUCCUGUUUACGAACACAACAUGACAAUCGACUUCUCAAGAUAAUCAAUUUCAUCUAAUCUCAUCUCAUCCUCUCAUCAAGUUUUUGUUUCUAAUUUCAUUACCUGGAAAAGCGAGGAUGCAUAUAAAAGUGUCCCAUCACCUCCCAAACAGAUGACCAGGUCAACCUCUUGGUCCAAACCACGGCCAUUUCGAUCAACCUCAAAGGUUAUCAGUUUAUCUCGAAACUGUUUAAACAAUGGUUCACCUCGAUUUCGUAUAUCUUUAAGUAAAUUGUGUUCAACCAGAACAACCAUUUGCUUAUCCUGAUUUCCAAUGGAAAAUCAUCAAGACAAAUUGAUUGUUCAUUUUACGAGAAUAAAAUGAACAGAAAGACAAAAAUGAAAUGACAAAUUUUACACAAUCAGAAUCAAAAAAAACAUCACAAGGAAGUUUCGAAGAUGAAUAAUAUUGAGAAAAACUUACCACUAAAAGCCAUUGAGUUAACUGAAUGAAACUCGGUAAAAUACUGGAAUCGUGAAUCUUAUGGAUAACAAGAACAUUU
This is a long non-coding RNA of Panonychus citri (citrus red mite), 643 nucleotides long. RefSeq lists it as uncharacterized. NCBI's taxonomy places the organism in Eukaryota, Metazoa, Arthropoda, Arachnida, Trombidiformes, Tetranychidae. The record is from RefSeq and is a predicted model, not a curated record. The transcript has 3 exons.